RNAcentral lists this ribosomal RNA (613 nucleotides) under Rhodotorula mucilaginosa. Its description in RNAcentral is "eukaryotic LSU rRNA". It matches the Rfam family "Eukaryotic large subunit ribosomal RNA", at positions 38 to 667 of the family's 3401-position model. Lineage: Eukaryota; Fungi; Basidiomycota; Microbotryomycetes; Sporidiobolales; Sporidiobolaceae. The record is from RNAcentral.
GCAUAUCAAUAAGCGGAGGAAAAGAAACAACCGGGAAUUCCCUAGGUAGCGGCGAGCGAAGCGGGAAGAGCUCAAAUUUAUAAUCUGGCACCUUCGGUGUCCGAGUUGUAAUCUCUAGAAAUGUUUUCCGCGUUGGACCGCACACAAGUCUGUUGGAAUACAGCGGCAUAGUGGUGAGACCCCCGUAUAUGGUGCGGACGCCCAGCGCUUUGUGAUACAUUUUCGAAGAGUCGAGUUGUUUGGGAAUGCAGCUCAAAUUGGGUGGUAAAUUCCAUCUAAAGCUAAAUAUUGGCGAGAGACCGAUAGCGAACAAGUACCGUGAGGGAAAGAUGAAAAGCACUUUGGAAAGAGAGUUAACAGUACGUGAAAUUGUUGGAAGGGAAACGCUUGAAGUCAGACUUGCUUGCCGAGCAAUCGGUUUGCAGGCCAGCAUCAGUUUUCCGGGAUGGAUAAUGGUAAAGAGAAGGUAGCAGUUUCGGCUGUGUUAUAGCUCUCUACUGGAUACAUCCUGGGGGACUGAGGAACGCAGUGUGCCUUUGGCGGGGGUUUCGACCUCUUCACACUUAGGAUGCUGGUGGAAUGGCUUUAAACGACCCGUCUUGAAACACGGACC